CCACUGCAUUUCGGAAGUCAAGCACACUUCCGGAACGGAUGAAGUUUGGUGCUUCUCCCCCCCCACCCCCAGUUUAUUCAAUUUAUUCUGUGUUUUCGUUUUUGAGGCUUUUUCAAUUAAUUUUGUGACUGUGUGGAACCCAGUUCAGCUACUGAUUGAUUGAUUGAUUGAUUGAUUGUGUGACUGUGGAGAUGGAUAAGAGCCCCCCAUCCAAACAAUGACUAUCAUCAGUGCAGGUAAGAAUUUUUUUUUUUUAAUUUUUAUCAUCCACAAUACUGUCUUAUUUAUUUUAUACUACAGUUCAUUGAUUAUUGCUUUCAUUUUAUGGAUCAAUGGUCUCGUUAGAUAGUAAAAUUCAUGUUAAAUUGCUGUUUUAGGGAUUGUUUUUAAAAGUCUGGAACGGAUUAAUCCGUUUUGCAUUACUUUCUAUGGGAAAGCGCACCUUGGCCUUGGAACGCUUUGGUUUUGGAAAGGACUUCUGGAACAGAUUAAGUAUGAGAACCAAGGUACCACUGUAUAUGCAUUCUGAUGCACACCUUACCCUAGUAUGUGCAUUUUCUUACACAUUACUUGGCAUGGCAAAAUUCAGAUAAGUGCAAAUUUCAAUAGGCGACUGUGUUUCAUGGCACAUUUUUUUUGUCAGAAUGCGUAUAUUAGGUAGCCUCACCUUUAAAUGAGGACUGGUUCAAAAUUUUGCCCGCUCCUGUUUCUGCUCUCAGGUAUUUCCAACUCUCAUUGUAAUCAGUCAAAUGACGAUAUGCUUGUUGCGCUUCGGAUGCCAAGUCUGAUAUCAUCAGUGUUGGGGACAGCAGGGAUUACUGAAUAUGCAAUGAUGAAUAUUCUAUUGAAAAUUGGUCAUAAUUACCUUGGGCUGCAAUAACCCUUAACCUGCAAACUUUUACUCAUAGAUUAAGAGCACCUUAGAGAAUGUUCUCCACUUUUCCCUGCAUUUUACAUCCUACACCAAGGUCUCAUCUCCUUCAUUUUUAAAGUGGCUCUACACUACAUUAACCUAAUUCCCUUGGUUCCUCUAAAUAGUUGUAGAAGAUAAUUUCCUGUUCUUCAUAACCUUCUUAGCUGUCCUACUCUGUACUUACACGUUUGUGUCAGCAAUUAAACUCUUACAUGCCCUCAUUAAUGCACUGAACCUUGUCUCCAUUCCUCUAUCCCUCACUUCAUUCUGCUAUGUGGUAUAAAUAUGGCUCUAUUGUUCAUUAGCAUACGGCCCCCUUAAUCCCUCAAAGAAGGUACAGGUGUGGGUAUAUUCUGCCCACUGCCCCACCCCUGUUGCAAAUGAGACCCACUUGAACUUCUGUGCCAUGCCUUUGAAACAGCAGUCCUGUUAAACUUCACGAUAAUUCCGAAAAGGAAGGGAGGUGGAAAAGACUUCCCUUAAAAAAUUCCAAGCACAUGUAUUUACUUUUAUCUCACAAACGGCUAUCAUGGCACGGCUUUGUCACUG
Podarcis lilfordi (Lilford's wall lizard) is the source of this 1462-nucleotide non-coding RNA. NCBI's taxonomy places the organism in Eukaryota, Metazoa, Chordata, Lepidosauria, Squamata, Lacertidae. The record is from the annotation of a GenBank genome assembly.